RNAcentral lists this long non-coding RNA (611 nucleotides) under Pan troglodytes (chimpanzee). RNAcentral's name for it is "lncRNA (ENSPTRG00000053215.1)". The record is from RNAcentral. Lineage: Eukaryota; Metazoa; Chordata; Mammalia; Primates; Hominidae.
GCUCCACAUGUUCUAUUGGGAAAAGGCUCUACAGUAUUUUUAUGAGAUUUACUUUUGUCCUUCCCAAUUCAAGAAGGCAAAUCACUCACAAUCUUCCUUUCAUAGAUAAAUAAAGGGCAUAGGAAAAAGAGUAGGUCACCAAAGUUUGGGAAGGAAGUCAAUGGGAAACCAAGGUUUGCCUCCUCAGCUCUUGGGUUCUCAGCAGUCUCUUAAUUCAGGCUUCCCCUCCACCCUCAAAAAAGACCUCCAGAUCUCAUUAACUGGUUAUGCUAUUAUGAUGAUAUUAUUACUGCCGUGUCCACCUACCAGAGCUACCUUCUCUUCGGACAAAGAAUCCUCUACCACAGCCAGCUGUGGCUUUGGCCCUAACCUCAGCAGGGAACCCAAGUGACUGUUGGUCACCUUCUGCUUGGCUAGAGGCAGAUCUAGCAGCAAACGAUGCCUAUGUCUUAGCCUCCAUGUCCAAACACUGGGAUGUCAGUGCAAAGGUAAUUGUGGGGAAAACAAGACCAUUACUGAGAAGAAAGAGCAAGAGUUAGCAUCUGCCCCAGUCCUGGGAAGCAUUGGCCAGUUUCUCCAGAACUUACCCUCUCAUGGUAAGUUCACUGCAC